This 490-nucleotide ribosomal RNA is filed under the name uncultured bacterium. Its description in RNAcentral is "partial 16S ribosomal RNA". It matches the Rfam family "Bacterial small subunit ribosomal RNA", at positions 29 to 505 of the family's 1533-position model. The record is from RNAcentral.
AGUGAACGCUGGCGGUAGGCCUAACACAUGCAAGUCGAACGGCAGCACAGUAAGAGCUUGCUCUUACGGGUGGCGAGUGGCGGACGGGUGAGGAAUACAUCGGAAUCUACUUUUUCGUGGGGGAUAACGUAGGGAAACUUACGCUAAUACCGCAUACGACCUACGGGUGAAAGCAGGGGAUCUUCGGACCUUGCGCGAUUGAAUGAGCCGAUGUCGGAUUAGCUAGUUGGCGGGGUAAAGGCCCACCAAGGCGACGAUCCGUAGCUGGUCUGAGAGGAUGAUCAGCCACACUGGAACAGAGACACGGUCCAGACUCCUACGGGAGGCAGCAGUGGAGAAUAUUGGACAAUGGGCGCAGGCCUGAUCCAGCCAUACCGCGUGGGUGAAGAAGGCCUUCGGGUUGUAAAGCCCUUUUGUUGGGAAAGAAAAGCAGCAGGUUAAUACCCCGCUGUUCUGACGGUACCCAAAGAAUAAGCACCGGCUAACUUCG